CAGGUCAGUGGCUAUCUCGUCCGCCUGAAAAGCGGAAGGUCGGCGGUUCGAUCCCGCCCCUGGCCA
RNAcentral lists this transfer RNA (66 nucleotides) under Mycobacterium tuberculosis variant bovis. RNAcentral's name for it is "tRNA-Ser". It matches the Rfam family "tRNA". Rfam says of the family: Transfer RNA (tRNA) molecules are approximately 80 nucleotides in length. Their secondary structure includes four short double-helical elements and three loops (D, anti-codon, and T loops). Lineage: Bacteria; Bacillati; Actinomycetota; Actinomycetes; Mycobacteriales; Mycobacteriaceae. RNAcentral also lists the same sequence under 4 other names. The record is from RNAcentral.